AAUAGAAACUAUAAGAUUUUUUUUUGUUAAAAUAAUUCGGCGGAAACUCCCUGCAAUACAAGGGGUGCAACUAAUUUUGUAAACAUAACAAAACUCCUAGAUUUGUUUCAAUUAAAGUUUGGCACGAAAACUACCUAAAGAUCUGCAUUGAUAAAACAAAAUAAAUUAACAAAACGUUUUGUUGAAUCGACUCCCCGUUCUUUUUCUGCGUGAACAAAUUGCCGGUCUGGUGGUCGACGGAGGGCAUCUAUUUCAGUGUACCUCCAUCCGGAUGUGGACCUCGAUCCAGGUGCUGCUCCAAUGGGAGGAGCCAGUGGAGCAGCUCCUGGUGCUAUUCCUACGAUACGAUGGUGGUUCCGUCGGUGGUCAGCGGAUGGACGGAGUAUAAGGCUCCGGACAAACGAACCUAGCAUGUCACCAAGCAAAGCUCAUGGGAAAAGCUGGACGAACUUUCACCAGCAGAAAAAUUGCAGUCCCCGUGUCUCUGGACGAAGUACCGGUCCGAUCAAGGUGAUACCAACCUCAAACGGUUUAGAUUAUCAAGUAUGAAGGAGCAAGAGUGGACGCUGGAGAGAAAGUAAAAAAUAGAUCCGGCAAGCUUCCUUUUGCCUCCUAUGCUCGGUACCAAACAAGCCACGGUAGAACAAAACGACACUAUCGAGUUCUUCUAAAGAUUCUUGACAGAAUUUGGAUACUGCCGUAAAAAUGAAACUUGGCGUAAGAUUCGACUCCACCUGACCGUCGCAAUAUCCUCGAAGGCUUGGCUGACCGGCUUAUUAACAGUUCCUAGACAAAAAAGAAACAACAAUAUAGCGAUAAAAAGGCUAAAUGAGUUGUGAAAAAUACUCACCGCACCGUAGAAAUUUUCGUUUAAAAAUUUCCAACCACAAUAUUUUCACUGCCCGGAUGAAUUGCGCGUAAACAAAUCUGCACACGAAUAAUUUAUUUUAGCUUUCAAGCCGAGAAGCGAUUACACUUAAAAUUGAAAAUAGGUUAAAAAAGCAAAAGCUUUCCAAUAUUCUUUUCGGUUUGGAUUAUCUUUUCACUAUGAAGUUCAAUGUAACAAUAAUAAUCAUAAAAUAAUUGUUGUUAUACCAUGUUUUUGACAUAUUCGGCAACUGUGAAACAUUAUGAAUUAACGAUAAAUUUCACGGUUACUUUUAAAACCAUGGUGGUUUCAAAAUUUUAGAAGGUUGAUAAAGAUCUUAAAAUAAGGAUGAAGUUUAUUGUUAAAUUGAAAAUCACUGUUCGGUUAUCUUAAUACCACGGUCUUUGCUAUUCGGGUUGAAAUCUGAGGUAGCUGAAAAACAUCAUUAAUGCCACCAUGACAUCAGCGGGAUCUACGUCAAUCACCGCCGAAUUGAUUUAAAUUUAGAUAUUUUUUAUAUGUAUAUGUUUGUAUGCGCAGUUUUGUAUUUUUCAAAAUGU
Molecule: long non-coding RNA, 1428 nt
Organism: Uranotaenia lowii
Lineage: Eukaryota; Metazoa; Arthropoda; Insecta; Diptera; Culicidae
Exons: 3
Source: RefSeq, a predicted model, not a curated record